Molecule: ribosomal RNA, 253 nt
Filed under: Aquabacterium sp.
Lineage: Bacteria; Pseudomonadati; Pseudomonadota; Betaproteobacteria; Burkholderiales; Sphaerotilaceae
Also listed under: 1 other name
Description: partial 16S ribosomal RNA
Rfam family: Bacterial small subunit ribosomal RNA
Source: RNAcentral
UACGUAGGGUGCGAGCGUUAAUCGGAAUUACUGGGCGUAAAGCGUGCGCAGGCGGCUUUGCAAGACAGAGGUGAAAUCCCCGGGCUCAACCUGGGAACUGCCUUUGUGACUGCAAGGCUAGAGUACGGCAGAGGGGGAUGGAAUUCCGCGUGUAGCAGUGAAAUGCGUAGAUAUGCGGAGGAACACCAAUGGCGAAGGCAAUCCCCUGGGCCUGUACUGACGCUCAUGCACGAAAGCGUGGGGAGCAAACAGG